This is a long non-coding RNA of Calypte anna (Anna's hummingbird), 469 nucleotides long. RefSeq lists it as uncharacterized. NCBI's taxonomy places the organism in Eukaryota, Metazoa, Chordata, Aves, Apodiformes, Trochilidae. The record is from RefSeq and is a predicted model, not a curated record. The transcript has 3 exons.
CUGGGCACGGCGCUGCCGCCGCCGCGUGCCCCGGCGCCGUGCAUGGAGAGGGAGCGGGCUCCGAGGGCCAAGCCGCCUGCAUACGCCGGACUGCCCCGCCACCGCCGGGAAAAGGAUUGCGGCUAAAACUUCUGGAGAAUUAUUUUUUUUUGUUUGUGCAACUAGAGUCUCAUUAGAGCCCACUGAUUAGCUUUGUCUUCAAGAAAUUUCCCCUUCUCACCUUUGCAGUCUGGAAGAGGGACCUAGCAGACUGGUAAGGCCAUACUACUGCAGCUGUUCAUGGAAAGCUCUACAAGAUGGGGUUUUCAAUCCUACAAGGAUCCUCUGCUGCUUGAGUUAAAGGUCAACUGGAUUAACUUGAGGUUGAGUAACAUAGAUGGACAAGACUAGUAAGUUUGUCAUUGGCUUGUUUCUAGUACUGGGUCUGGUUUCUAGUACCACUGCAGCAGUGAUAAGGGGUAGGCAUUAA